This is a long non-coding RNA of Mustela erminea (ermine), 795 nucleotides long. RefSeq lists it as uncharacterized. The transcript is spliced from 3 exons. NCBI's taxonomy places the organism in Eukaryota, Metazoa, Chordata, Mammalia, Carnivora, Mustelidae. The record is from RefSeq and is a predicted model, not a curated record.
GGAGGUGGGGGGCGGGCGACACACUCAGCAAAGCAGCUGAGGUGGAAAUGAGUGUGGUGAGGUGGGAGAACAGAAGGUAGGCCAGGGUGGCUGGAAGAUAGGCAGAGAGGAAUAGAAUGGGGAAGACGAGGCCACAAGGAGAAGACCCUGGAUUUCACGGCUAUUUGAGGCCAUGGUGAGGUCUUCUGAUUGUACUCCGAGUGUGCCGGAAAGGCACUGGAGUGUGGAAAGCAGAAGAAUGACAGGAUCUGAGGUAUGUUUUUAAAGAACUGAGGAGGACAAGACUGCAGGGCACAAAGGGCGGAGCCAGACAGGACUCUCUGGAACAGAGUGUGUGAGAGACAGAAGAGGGGGCGCUGGCUGGCAACGGUGGAGUUGAUGACAAGUGGUCAGACCAGCACAACUUCUGUCAGCUCUUCCUGAGAGGCUGGAUGGAGAAUGUGUGGAAACAAGAGGAGCUGAGGAUAUCUCCCAGGGCUUCCUGCUUUCUGAACAUAGUUCAGAGGUCCAGGUUCCUGAGUGAUUCUGGAAGCUUCACACCUCAGCUGACCUCUUUCCCAACCGGGACUUCCAUUUCCCCAUUCUCUCUGCGCACAAUACCAGGAGUCCACAUGCUUCCAGUACAGGAGACCAUCUGACACAUUAAUACUAAGACAGAAACUUUGCCCGAAUCUGUGUUAAGAUGUGAGGUAAGCUGGAACACUGGACAACAGAAACAUUCCUGGAAGACACGUGUAUACCAGGAUAACUAGGUAGGACAUGGAAGGGAUGGAAAACAUAUAAAUAUCUCCCACU